Myotis lucifugus (little brown bat) is the source of this 2736-nucleotide RNA transcript. RefSeq lists it as uncharacterized. NCBI's taxonomy places the organism in Eukaryota, Metazoa, Chordata, Mammalia, Chiroptera, Vespertilionidae. The transcript has 8 exons. The record is from RefSeq and is a predicted model, not a curated record.
GAAGGAGAAAGAGGCUUAGAGGCACCGCGGCGGGGAUGGCGGCUGGGAGGCCGUGUCCUGAGACUCCGCAGCUGUAUUGGGUGCAGUGACUUCUGCUAGAGAUACAAUUCCUCAUGAACUGAUGCCUAAGGCCCUACAGCGUACCUGCUACUGCCCAGUCCUAACAGAAGCUCACACUGAUAUUAGUGAGGAAAAGACACCAGUCCUCAUUAACUGUCUGGUGGCUAACACCCUGCAGCACACCUGCUGCUGACAAGUCCGAACACAAGCUUCAUCUCAUCCUGAGUGAACCAAAGGUAAGUAAACAAGGAUAUGCUCAUGGGUGGGGAAUCCUGAGCACCUGCACUGUGACUCACACACCACAAUCCCAAGGUCCCAACCACAAUCCCCAUCUGUCGGGGACACUGGUAGGACCAUCACGUCUGCUGCGGUGCAUGGAGGGGGACACGCAGCAGCCUGCACCUGUGACAGUGCCUGUCUUUUUCCGGGUUGAACUCAAAAGAAGCAAACUUUCCGGUCACUCCAUGGAGUCAUAUACCCAACUGAGGAGUAAUCUGCCUCUAAAAUCCAGAGGCUCCCUGGGCGCUGGUUCUCCAUCUUGGUAGCAGGGCCAGAUGCCAGCAAUCAUUAUUUACCUCAGACACCUGCCUGCCCCACAGAAGAGCACUGGACACAAACAUAUUUCACUGAGUAAGAAUUCUGAAUUUCAGUCAGAUUUCUUCCUCAGCUACUGACUCUAAAAGUGUAUCAACUCUAGAGUAGUAUUGUCCCACUCACUUGGCCCAUUCUGGAUAACGUCAUCAUUGUAACUGACCAGCAAGAAGUAUUUCCUGUGGAAGAAAAGGGCAGUGAGGACCUUCAGCCUGUAGAGAUGACUCAUCCCUGAGGGAAGAUAAUGAAGGUGUGUGGGGGCCUUGCCACCUGAAAGAAGGCAAAUUGGAUUGAACUAUGGGAACACGAGGAGGAGGCAUUUGCCUGCACUGUAGUUGCAUAUGGAACAAGGUGAUGUGGACUUUGAAGUUGCUCAAGUAAAGUAACCACAUGGUACAGCAGCAGCAUAGGGUCUCCUGUAGUUAAAGAAUCGCCAUCUUCCUCAAUAACUGUCUGAUGGCUGACGCCCUAAGCACACCUGCUACUGCUCAGUCUUAACAGAGGCUUUCCAUGAUCCUUAAUGAACAGAGGCAAGUAAACAAAACUAUGCUGGCAUUAUUUGAAAACAGAGGAAUGUCUCUUACUUUCAAAAACAAGAGGAAGACUGACAAAGAUUCUUUUAAAAUUAUCCCAUUAUUAAAUAUUGGGGAUCAUGUAGUUAAUGACAUUAUAUUAACUUGUACAACUUCACAAUGCAGCAUAGCACACUCCAGUUUGUGCUCAACACUCACAGGAUGGCAUCCUUGUAUUGGAACUCCUUUGCCAUCGUAUCCUCACUCAUGCUUUUUCCCCUACGGUGACCGCCAUGGAAAAAGUCUGCAGGUAGGAGAUCUUCAAGGUGAAUGAGGAGGUGAACGGCCCAAUCUCUGCCCAUCGUGAUGGGUUCAUUACCCACUGUCCUUCACAAACAUCCCGAAUGUCCUUUGUAGCGCAGCCGUCCAGUUUCCUGUUGGAUAUUGACAUCAUGCAGAGUCACCGGACAAAUAUGAAAACUCAAGGUAUCUGAGGCCCGGACACACCUCCAUGACUAGCCGGCUGCCUCGGAGCUGGGGACUCCGUGCUUCCUGCCAUCAGCAGAUCCAGCCCCAGAAACAGACGAGUUUACAAUCAUCUCUGAAAACUGCCACGAAUGGGUGUCCUGUUCUAAGCCGGGUCACCCAGGAAGGACGGGGGUAAGAGGGACAUUUUGCUCCAGAAACAGAAUGUCCAAAAAGGCCCAGUCCAUUAUUUUCCCCAGAAACGGCUGGAGGAGAGUAAAAUCCCAACAUGAGCCUCGAAGGCCUCUGUGCCCAGGGGAUGGCGUUGCCUGCUGAGGAGGGGCAGCAGGGGACACGGGCAGUUUCUCCACAGGCUGCAGCGGGAAGCUGGGCAGGAGCCUGGCGGGCCCCGGGUUCUCUAAGAGGUUCUUCUAGAAACAGACCCCUCAGAUGCUUCCUCUCACUUCAGGUAAGAAGUUACUGUUAAGGCACUUGGGGAGUUUCCCUUCCAGCUUCAGAAAGGAGGCGCAGAUAUGACCAAGCGCUCUGUAACUGGAGCAGCCUGGAGGCCAGCUCUGGGGCUGCACAGCCCAGCCAUGAGGAAAAGCCGGCCCAGCUGCCCGCGUGUGGCCUUGACACAGCCCCUGGCACCGUUCUGAUGGCAACUGGCAGUGAGUCUCAAGGCUCAGAGCACAGGACUGGCCUGCAGGGAGCAGACACUCAUCCCAAGACCCCACUGCUGCUGAGUUCCAUCCGGAGCCUGUCAGAGAGCAGCCGCUGCCGUAGCCGGGCCUCAUCUGAGUGUGCGCCAGCUUCACGCAGAGCACAAGGCAUGUCUGCAGGUGUCGCAGAGCGUUCCCCUAACCGGGAAUGGCCUUCAGCGUGGAAAAGACGGUCUUUAGUGAAAGAGACCUCUCCAGAGACCUCAGCCAGACAUGCAAAGACUAUCGAGUUAUUCCAGGAUCCAAGAUCACAUUUGCAGACUUUGUAACAGCCAGAGUCAAUGGCUUAAGGUGUGUAUUUAAACUCCAAUCUCUUAGACGCAGCGUCAUAGACAAUAUGUGAGCAAAUAGGUGUGGCUGUAUUCCCAUAAAGCAGUAUUUGUAGA